UACGUAGGGGGCUAGCGUUGUCCGGAAUCAUUGGGCGUAAAGCGCGUGUAGGCGGCCCGGUAAGUCCGCUGUGAAAGUCCAGGGCUCAACCCUGGGAUGCCGUUGGAUACUGUCGGGCUCGAGUCCGGAAGAGGAGAGUGGAAUUCCUGGUGUAGCGGUGAAAUGCGCAGAUAUCAGGAGGAACACCCGUGGCGAAAGCGGCUCUCUGGGACGGUACUGACGCUGAGACGCGAAAGCGUGGGGAGCAAACAGG
This 253-nucleotide ribosomal RNA is filed under the name uncultured bacterium. RNAcentral's name for it is "partial 16S ribosomal RNA". It matches the Rfam family "Bacterial small subunit ribosomal RNA", at positions 524 to 776 of the family's 1533-position model. The record is from RNAcentral.